RNAcentral lists this unclassified non-coding RNA (1322 nucleotides) under Helicoverpa zea (corn earworm). Its description in RNAcentral is "pyridoxal phosphate homeostasis protein, transcript variant X1". The record is from RNAcentral. Lineage: Eukaryota; Metazoa; Arthropoda; Insecta; Lepidoptera; Noctuidae.
GGUUACUAUCGAUUGAGUGAGAAUUGAGAUUUGACAUUAUUGAUAAGAAGUUGUCAAAUAGAUAAUAAAACCAAAUAAAAGUGAUCAAAACAGCAAUUUCAAUGGAAUAAUUAUAACAGUUCCGUUCUCGCUGUACCACGAUAGUAACUAUGUCAUCAGAAUCGGGUCAAGAUCAGAAGAUCGACGUAAUGUUGGGCUUAAAAAAAGUAUUGUCACAAAUUGAGGGUGCGGUGGCCAGGCGCAGUAAAGACCUGCCACAAGUUAUGCCAAGGUUAGUAGCUGUCUCAAAGAUAAAACCUGCUUCGUUGAUUGUUGAAGCUUAUGAGGCUGGCCAGCGCCAUUUUGGGGAGAAUUAUGUCAACGAGUUAGCUGAUAAAGCAAGUGACCCUCUCAUUCUAGAGAAAUGCAAGGAUAUUAAAUGGCAUUUCAUUGGCCAUUUGCAAACCAACAAAAUAAAUAAACUUCUUAGUUCCCCGCAACUAUUUAUGAUACAGACGGUUCAUUCUGAGAAGUUAGCUGACAAUUUGAACAAGCAAUGGCCGAAAUAUAGAAAAAAUGAGGAAAAAUUGCCUGUGUUUGUACAGAUCAAUACUAGUGCUGAAGAAGCUAAAAAUGGAAUUGAGCCGUCUGAAACAACAAGAGUGGUUGAGCAUGUCCUGAAAAACUGUCCGAACCUGGAUUUCAAAGGAUUGAUGACAAUUGGAAUGUACGACUAUGAUGUGACUAAAAUCACAAACCCAGAUUUCCUAUGCCUCGCUAAAUGUAGACAGGAAGUUUGUGAAAAUUUGAACCUUGAUAUAAAUAACGUGGAAUUAUCUAUGGGGAUGUCUGGUGAUUUUGAACAGGCUAUUGAACUUGGAGCUACUACAGUUCGUGUUGGUUCAGUAAUUUUUGGUGCUAGGCCACCAAAACCAUGGUAAAAGUAUAUUUGCUAUAUAAAUAGGGAUGUUGACAAUAUUUAGGACUACAGAUUUAAAGUGUAUGUUUUUUAAGUGGAAAUUCGAAUACAAAACCGUUUCUUUAUGAUUUACCUAGGUUAGGUGUUACCUACUUUUUAUUGUUUUUAAUUUAUUAAUGAAUUACUUACGCCUUUUAUACUUUAACAAUAGUAUAUUUAUUAAACCAUAAUUCCCUGCUAUGUUAGAAAUAUGACAAUCUUUACAUAUUUCCGUGAUUAAUGUCAGUCAUCAUCCCUAUUACAAAGAAUAAUAUAUUUAAUAGACAAUAACAGCCAUAAGCUGAAUUUAUCUUCAAUGUUAAUGUUGUUUUUUCUUGAAUGUUAUUAAUUAAUAAAUGUGAUAGUAAACGGGCUUCCAAACUUG